Schistosoma curassoni is the source of this 48-nucleotide non-coding RNA. NCBI's taxonomy places the organism in Eukaryota, Metazoa, Platyhelminthes, Trematoda, Strigeidida, Schistosomatidae. The record is from Rfam.
AUCUAGCUAAAGAGUCCCAAACAGGACGAAACACGAAUCAAACUGGAU